This 253-nucleotide ribosomal RNA is filed under the name uncultured bacterium. RNAcentral describes it as "partial 16S ribosomal RNA". It matches the Rfam family "Bacterial small subunit ribosomal RNA", at positions 524 to 776 of the family's 1533-position model. The record is from RNAcentral.
UACGUAGGGGGCAAGCGUUGUCCGGAAUCAUUGGGCGUAAAGAGCGUGUAGGCGGCUUGUUAAGUCUUGCGUGAAAUCUCGGGGCUCAACCCCGAGCGGUCGUGAGAAACUGGCAGGCUAGAGUGCGGGAGAGGAGAGUGGAAUUCCUGGUGUAGCGGUGAAAUGCGCAGAUAUCGGGAAGAACACCCGUGGCGAAGGCGGUUCUCUGGGACGGUACUGACGCUGAGACGCGAAAGCGUGGGGAGCGAACAGG